CCUGGCUCAGAUUGAACGCUGGCGGCAUGCCUAACACAUGCAAGUCGAACGGCAGCACAGCAGUAGCAAUACUGUGGGUGGCGAGUGGCGGACGGGUGAGUAAUGCAUCGGGACCUACCUGAACGUGGGGGAUAACGUAGGGAAACUUACGCUAAUACCGCAUACGUCCUACGGGAGAAAGCGGGGGACCUUCGGGCCUCGCGCGGUCAGACGGACCGAUGUUCGAUUAGCUAGUUGGUAAGGUAACGGCUUACCAAGGCGACGAUCGAUAGCUGGUCUGAGAGGAUGAUCAGCCACACUGGAACUGAGACACGGUCCAGACUCCUACGGGAGGCAGCAGUGGGGAAUAUUGGACAAUGGGCGCAAGCCUGAUCCAGCAAUGCCGCGUGUGUGAAGAAGGCCUUCGGGUUGUAAAGCACUUUUAUCAGGAGCGAAAUACUACCGGUUAAUAACCGGUGGGGCUGACGGUACCUGAGGAAUAAGCAC
Molecule: ribosomal RNA, 486 nt
Filed under: gamma proteobacterium C2PN25
Lineage: Bacteria; Pseudomonadati; Pseudomonadota; Gammaproteobacteria
Description: bacterial SSU rRNA
Rfam family: Bacterial small subunit ribosomal RNA
Source: RNAcentral